RNAcentral lists this ribosomal RNA (253 nucleotides) under uncultured bacterium. RNAcentral's name for it is "partial 16S ribosomal RNA". It matches the Rfam family "Bacterial small subunit ribosomal RNA", at positions 524 to 776 of the family's 1533-position model. The record is from RNAcentral.
UACGUAGGGACCAAGCGUUGUCCGGAAUCACUGGGCGUAAAGGGCGCGUAGGCGGCCCGAUAAGUCGGGGGUGAAAUCCUGUGGCUUAACCACAGGGCUGCCUCCGAGACUGUCGGGCUCGAGCACAGUAGAGGCAGGUGGAAUUCCCGGUGUAGCGGUGGAAUGCGUAGAUAUCUGGAGGAAUACCGGUGGCGAAGGCGGCAUCCUGGACCGAGAUUGACACUGAUGAGCGAAAGCUAGGGGAGCAAACGGG